RNAcentral lists this ribosomal RNA (569 nucleotides) under Aureobasidium pullulans. RNAcentral describes it as "partial 26S ribosomal RNA". It matches the Rfam family "Eukaryotic large subunit ribosomal RNA", at positions 62 to 646 of the family's 3401-position model. Lineage: Eukaryota; Fungi; Ascomycota; Dothideomycetes; Dothideales; Saccotheciaceae. The record is from RNAcentral.
AAACCAACAGGGAUUGCCCUAGUAACGGCGAGUGAAGCGGCAACAGCUCAAAUUUGAAAGCUAGCCUUCGGGUUCGCAUUGUAAUUUGUAGAGGAUGAUUUGGGGAAGCCGCCUGUCUAAGUUCCUUGGAACAGGACGUCAUAGAGGGUGAGAAUCCCGUAUGUGACAGGAAAUGGCACCCUAUGUAAAUCUCCUUCGACGAGUCGAGUUGUUUGGGAAUGCAGCUCUAAAUGGGAGGUAAAUUUCUUCUAAAGCUAAAUAUUGGCGAGAGACCGAUAGCGCACAAGUAGAGUGAUCGAAAGAUGAAAAGCACUUUGGAAAGAGAGUUAAAAAGCACGUGAAAUUGUUGAAAGGGAAGCGCUUGCAAUCAGACUUGUUUAAACUGUUCGGCCGGUCUUCUGACCGGUUUACUCAGUUUGGACAGGCCAGCAUCAGUUUCGGCGGCCGGAUAAAGGCUCUGGGAAUGUGGCCUCCACUUCGGUGGAGGUGUUAUAGCCCAGGGUGUAAUACGGCCAGCCGGGACUGAGGUCCGCGCUUCGGCUAGGAUGCUGGCGUAAUGGUUGUAAGCG